RNAcentral lists this ribosomal RNA (220 nucleotides) under uncultured bacterium. Its description in RNAcentral is "partial 16S ribosomal RNA". It matches the Rfam family "Bacterial small subunit ribosomal RNA", at positions 1281 to 1500 of the family's 1533-position model. The record is from RNAcentral.
GACAGUCUCAGUUCGGAUUGAAGGCUGAAAUUCGCCUUCAUGAAGCCGGAAUUGCUAGUAAUGGCAGGUCAGCAUACUGCCGUGAAUACGUUCCCGGGCCUUGUACACACCGCCCGUCACACCAUGAGAGUCGGGAACACCCGAAGUCCGUAGUCUAACCGCAAGGGGGACGCGGCCGAAGGUGGGUUCGAUAAUUGGGGUGAAGUCGUAACAAGGUAGC